RNAcentral lists this ribosomal RNA (254 nucleotides) under uncultured bacterium. RNAcentral describes it as "partial 16S ribosomal RNA". It matches the Rfam family "Bacterial small subunit ribosomal RNA", at positions 524 to 777 of the family's 1533-position model. The record is from RNAcentral.
UACGAAGGGGGCUAGCGUUGCUCGGAAUUACUGGGCGUAAAGCGCACGUAGGCGGCUUCUUAAGUCGGGGGUGAAAUCCUGGAGCUCAACUCCAGAACUGCCUUCGAUACUGGAGCUUGAGUCCGGGAGAGGUGAGUGGGAACUGCGAGUGUAGAGGUGAAAUUCGUAGAUAUUCGCAAGAACACCAGUGGCGAAGGCGGCUCACUGGCCCGGUACGUGACGCUGAGGUGCGAAAGCGUGGGGAGCAAACAGGG